This 342-nucleotide ribosomal RNA is filed under the name uncultured bacterium. RNAcentral's name for it is "bacterial SSU rRNA". It matches the Rfam family "Bacterial small subunit ribosomal RNA", at positions 569 to 913 of the family's 1533-position model. The record is from RNAcentral.
GCGUAGGUGGGCAGGUAGGUCAGCGGUGAAAUCCCCGAGCUUAACUUGGGAACUGCCAUUGAUACUAUCUGUCUUGAAUACCUUGGAGGUGAGCGGAAUAUGUCAUGUAGCGGUGAAAUGCUUAGAUAUGACAUAGAACACCAAUUGCGAAGGCAGCUCACUACACGGUCAUUGACACUGAGGCACGAAAGCGUGGGGAUCAAACAGGAUUAGAUACCCUGGUAGUCCACGCCCUAAACGAUGGAUACUCGACAUCAGCGAUACACUGUUGGUGUCUGAGCGAAAGCAUUAAGUAUCCCACCUGGGAAGUACGGCCGCAAGGUUGAAACUCAAAGGAAUUGG